AGAGUCUCACCAGUGAGAUUGCCGGACAUAUACAUCUGAGAGAGAAAAGGACCUCGUUUUUCCCUGGCCCCUGCCUGAGAGUGAGCUGUUCAGCCGGAAGUUUUUCUGAAUUUACCAGGUACUUAGAGAUCUGCCUGCUUCUGCGUUCCAAGUGCUUGGAUUAAAGAACCUGGAAGAAUCCCUAGUGAUGAAGCUGAGUCUCAUCAAAGUCGUUAAUGGCUGUCGUCUAGGAACAAUACAGAACCUGGGCAAGGCAGGCGACUGCACGGUGGACAUUCCGGGCUGUCUUCUCUACACCAGGACUGGUUCUGCCCCACACCUGACGCAUCACACACUGCAUAAUAUCCAUGGGGUCCCAGCCAUGGCCCAGCUCACACUGUCAACCUUGGCAGAACAUCAUGAAGUCUUGGCAGAGUAUAAGAAAGGAGUUGGGAGCUUUAUAGGCAUGCCAGAAUCCCUCUUCUACUGCUCCCUGCACGAUCCAGUCAGCCCCGGCCCUGCUGGUUAUGUGACAAAUAAGUCUGUGUCCGUGUGGGGUUUUGGAGGUCGCGUGGAAAUGACUGUUUCCAAGUUCAUGGCAAUUCAGGAGGCCCUGCAACCAGACUGGUUCCAGUGCCUCUCAGAUGGGGAGGCAUCGUGUGCAGAAGCAACUUCCAUAAAAAGGGCCAGGAAGUCUGUGGAUCGGUCACUUCAGUUCCUGGACAGCUGUUUGCGACUACAGGAAGAGUCUGAGGUCCUUCAGAAAAGUGUGGUCAUUGGAGUGAUUGAAGGUGGAGAUGUGAUGGAAGAGAGGUUGAGGUCGGCACGAGAGACAGCCAAGCGGCCCGUGGGGGGCUUCCUUCUGGACGGCUUUCAAGGGAACCCCACGGUCCCAGAAACCAGGCUGCACUUGCUGUCGUCAGUCACCAAAGAGCUGCCCGAGGACAAACCAAGGCUCAUCUGCGGGGUCAGCCGGCCAGAUGAAGUGCUCGAGUGUGUUGAAAGAGGAGUGGACUUAUUUGAGAGUUUUUUCCCCUAUCAAGUGACCGAGCGGGGCUGUGCCCUGACUUUCACCUUUGAUUGCCAGCUGAAUCCUGAAGAGACAUUAUUGCAACAAAAUGGAAUCCAAGAAGAAAUAAAAUGCUCGGAUCAAAUGAAGAAAAGCGAAGCAACUAGGUGCAACCAAGAAAUGAGAUCAUUGGAAAUUAAUCUGAAGGAGAAAAAGUUGUAGUCCAUCACUGAAGGAAGCCAGGGCAGGAAUUCUUAUACAACCCAGGACCACCUUCCCGGAGUGGUACAACCCAUACUGGGCUGCGCCCUUCCACAUCAAUCAAGAAAAUGCCCCAUAGAGAUGCCUAUAGGCCAAUUUAAUGGAAAUUCCUCAAUUGAGGAGCCUUCUUCUCAGACCAGAAGAGGGCACCAGAUCUCAUUAUAGAUGGUUGUGAGCCACCAUGUGGUUGCUGGGAAUUGAACUCAAGACCUCUGGAAUAGCAGCCUGUGCUCCUAACCUCUGAGUCAUUCUCCAGCCCUGCUUACGACACUUUUAAUGCGAGAAGGUAAGACACAUUUUCUCUGGCAAAGAGUCGAUACUGAGAUGGAGAGGAUGGAGAUGGGUGGGAUGGAGCUACUGACGAAACUUCUGUUUAUUUUAUUGAAACUAUUCAUCCUUUCACAUGUUUUUUUUUUUUCUGAAUCCUUUCUCACAUUAGUGAAGAAGUACCGAAACCUUACACCUCCUCAGUCUUGUUUUUGAGGAUAUAUUGAUUUAUUCUCAUUUGUAAAAGCUUUCUCCCACUUCCAUUAUGUGUGUAGAACUUUACUUUGCAUGAGAACAGGGUCUCUGCUCCCUCACCUCACUUUCACCUGAUAAUUCUAAGCAAGCCCCACUCAUGGUGUUCUCAUUCUCAUCCACCCCAGUCUUCUAAGCAGCUUUGUCCUUAUCAUAUUUUCAAAUGAGAAAUAAUUCAAUUCAGAGUACAAUAGCAUUGUCAUCUUGUGAAGCACUCUCCCUUCCAUGUGGGUAGAACAGGGCAAUUCUUGACUUAAAAGACCCAGUGUUCCCAGCUCACCAUCUUCUCUAAGUACCUUUCAUUCUGCCCAGUUCCAUGCUCAAAAGUUCUGCCCUUGAUAUUUCCAGCAAACAGACCUAUGAUUAAAUAUAAGGAGAAUAUAUUCUUUUAUAUGUGAGUCAUGCUUUGCCUUCUACAUUAUCUUCCACAUUCCCCCCUCCCAACGCUUUUAUAAGAUGGAACAGAAAUUACUGUCCUCAUUUACUCCUGCAGAGACCGCGGUAUAAAGACAUCCACUUCUUAGAGUUUUCAACUGCAGAAGGAAGACUUUAAUUGAAGUUAAUAGAAACAGAACAGUCAGCAAAGGGGAGUUCCACACCAUCGUGGUAUCUGACACAGACAAUUCCAUGCACAAGAACCUUCUUCAUCUGGCUCUGCUCAGGGAUUUUCCUGGAAGCAAGUGCAUUUGAGUGAGGUUUCCUUGUACAACAAAGAUUUGCUGCAAUGCAUGGUGUGCUGGAUAGUUUUAUGUCAACUUGACACAAGCUAAAGUCAUCCAAGAGGAGGGGACCUCAAUGAAGAAAAUGCCUCCCUAAGAUGGAGCUGUAGGCAAGCCUAUAGAGCAUUCUCUUAAUUAGUUUGAUGGGGGAGGUCCCAGUCCAUUGUGGGUGGUACCGUUCCUGGGCUGGUGAUCUUGGGUUCUAUAAGAAAGCAGGCUGGGCAAGCCAUGGGGAGCAAGCCAGUAUGCCUCACCCUUCCAUGGCCUCUGCAUCAGCUCCUGCCUCCAGGAUCCUGCCCUGUUUGAGUUCCUGUCCCAACUUUCUUCGAUGAUGAACAGUGAUGUGGAAGUGUAAGCCAAAUAAACCCUUUCCUCCCCAACUUGCCUUUGGGCUAUGGUGUUUCCUUGCAGCAAUAGAAACCCUCACUAAGAGAGAUGAGCAGAGAGUUCCUCACUUAAGAAAAGCAGAGCUUGGGAGAGAAGCCAGGGGUUUUCACCAGUCCCAGUAGAGGCUGGAGACAGCCAGAGAUGAGAAGGAAAGACAGCAAGGAGAUGGGAGGGAGAAGGGGGGAGUGACAGAGAAGGAAAAAGUGUGAAACCAUUUGCCCCCAAUUUAUCUUUAUGAAAAUUUGCUAUGUGAAAAUGCCCACUUGAAAAUGAGGUAACUAAAGAAGUAAUUAUUUGCAUUACAAAUUAACUUUUCACUUCAAAAGAGUAUUUACCACAGGUGUGACUCUAUGAUGUGAGACUUCCAGCAAAGAAUAGGAGUUGGGAGAGGUGGGAGAUUUAAACAAUAAACUCCUGGUUGGAAUAUAAUGGGAAGUAAUUCCAGUGAUAAAGGGGAGCAUUCAUAAAGAAAUAGGCGGUGGUACAGGGAGUUCUUUGCAGAGUGCAGGCUUUGAAAGGGACGUGAACAAAAGGCACAUGCUGGAGAGGGGGGCAGUGAUAGAUACACUUCAACACAAAAACCUAUCAUGCACCUUCAAGAACCGAAUGAAGGAGGGUAAAGCCAGGGAGCCUUAGGAACAGAGCUGCUUCGCUUAGGGAAAAGGAGAAGUGCAAACAUGGAGUGACUCAUAUUGUGAGUAAGUAGUGGAAUGUCAACAGACUGUAAGAAUUUGUACAUUUUCAUUUGCUUAUUUUGCUCAUGAAUACUCCAAGGUGCAAAAGAUGGCUUUAACAAAAUGGAGAAGAUGGUAUUUCUCUUAGAAUGUAUUUGUGUAGAAGGCACACACUGACAGGAACUCAGUUGAAAAAGGGGUAGAAAUCCUUGGAGAUUCAUCUAGGCAUCCAGGGUAGAAGAGUGGGUGUUUCCAGACCAUAUUUGAGAUGAAGAUGGUGAAGGGGAGACACGGAAAAGAGAAAGAAUGUGGGAUACGGUGACCUGCGAUUCUUCCCUAUUUUUUCCUCGGCUCACAGCUCAGAUGAUUCCACCAAAUUUUAUCCGUUGCUUGGUACAAGCGGAUUUAUUGUGGGAGUGGAAGGAACUCAGCUCAGCUCCCUUAGGGAACCUGGGAAAGAUGAAAACCAAGUCUCUGAGGCAGUAGCCAGAGGGAAGGGACAUAAGGACCCAGCACAUUCAAUUUUUAAAGGCAGCAACCACUGUCUUAGUUACUCUUGUGUUACUGUGACUCAGCUUGUAGACGCAAAGGAGGAAUGAUUUAUUUUAGCUCACGGUUUCAGAACAUCACAGUUCAUCAUGGUGGAGAAAUUUUGAAAGAGUCCACGCUGAUGGGAGCCUGUGGCAGAGGUUUCUCCCGUUACAGUGGACCAUGAAGGGAGAGUGGGCUGGAACCAGGUGGGCAGUGAUAACCUUCAAAGACCUGCCCCUAGUGUACACUUAUGGCAGAUAGGCCCAUAUCCUAAAAGUCCUACAGCCUCCUAAAAGAGCAGUGCCAGCUGGUGAACAAGCAUUCACACCUGAGCCUGUGGAGGACGUCUAAGUUUCAAACCAGAACAGUUUACUUCCGGUUUCCAAGGAUGGUGACCGUCUCAUACCACACAUUUAUCCAACUUCAGGAGUCUCACCACCUAAACAGUCUCAGCAACACCUAAAUGUUUUUUUUGUUUGUUUGUUUUUGUUUUUGUUUUGUUUUUAAUGCGAAUGAGCGUUUUGCCUGCCCGUAUAUAUGUGUACCACGUAUGUGCCUGGUACCCAUGGAGGUCAGAAGAGGACAUCAGAUCCCUUGGAAGUGAAGCUAUGGUUGGUUGUGAGCCAGCAUAUGGGUGUUGGGAGUCAAAUCCAGGUCCUCUGUAAGAGCAACAGUGCCUUUAACUGCUGAGGCCAUUUCUGCAGCCCCAACAAGGCACACUUCUGUGUGUCCCAGUAUCAUAAAAAAGGAACUUACAUAAUUCCAAUACACAAUGGUGUACAAAUGAAGCAAACAUUCCCAUUCUAAAAUGGAGGGAAAUUGGACCAAAGCAAGACUGAAACCUCCAAGAGCAAAUACCAGACGCUGGGUCUCCAUGUCUAGCAUCCAGGGAAUAGGAUGUCAUUAAGUGGACUCCAAUAGACUUGGGUAGCUCUUCUCCUACGGCCUUUCUACCUGUAGCAUACAUGACCUUUCACCUAGGCUGGCUUCUCUCAGUACCAUUUCUUUAGCAAAUGUCAUGUGAUUUUUAGCAUCUCUAAAAUCCUCCAGUUUCCAUUACAACUUAAGCUUUACACUGAUAACUUCUCAGGAGCUUCCUGCAGGGAAUUUGACCCUGCUACACACUUCUUGGCCUCAAAAGCAUUCUCUUCUUUUAAGGACACUAAUAUCAUCAUAUCAGAACCUCAUUAUUAUGACCUAGCGUAUCCCUAAUUAUGUCCCUGUAGGUCUUAUAUUCAGAUAUGGUUAGAUUGUUGGUUAGGGCUUAACAUAGAAAUUUUGGGGAGACACAGCUGAGUUUCUAGCAAAGUCCUCUAUAGCCAUUAAUUGUUAAUUCAGUUUCUACUUCAUGCCCAAGUCAACUCCUACUGUAUUGUUUGUCUCUGUAGAUUUUUGGUUUGGGUACAUGUCAUACAAAUAGGGUUGUGUAAUUGACCUCCCAGCUUCUGCUAGAGGUGGAAGCCAUUGCCUCUUUUACAGCAGGCAAGCACUCUAUCACUGAACUAUGUCCCCAGCUCUUGUGUUUUCUUUUUUGUUAUUGUUGUUUGUUGUUUGGAGACAAGGUCCUGCCAUGUAGCCAAGGCUAGUCUUGAGCUUAUUAUGUAGCCCAGGCUCUUCUCAAACACAUGGUCUUCUGUCUUGGUCUCCUGAGUGCUGAGAUUCCAGGCAUGUAAGACCAGUCUGGCUAAUAACUUACAGUAAGUUUUGAAAGCAGGAAGUGAAAAUUCUCCAGCUUCCCCCACUUUUGGAAAUGAUUAAUUUCUGUCUUUAUGGAUUUACCUAUUCUGGAUAUUUCUUCUUUUAAAAUGUGUUUUGGCUAGUCUGGGUUUUUUGCAUUUCUAUAUAAAUUUACAAUCUGCUCGUGAGAUUUUUUUUUAAGAAGAAAAAGCCUCCUGGAAUGAGAUAUUGCAUAAGUAUACAUAUCAACUUGAAGAAAAUUGUCAUCUUAACAUGCUGAGUCUUCCAAUCUGAGUAUAUGACAUAUUAGAGGUCCCCAUUCUUCUAACUAAUUUGUUAAUUUUUCAUAAUUAAAAGUUUUAAUUGAUAUAAAAUUAGUCAUUUUAAAGUGAAUAAUUCAAUGACAUUUAGUGACUUACAAUAUUGUGCAACCACUCCAUCUAUGCAGUUCUGUUUUCAUUAUCAUAGGAGAAAACCAGGAACCCAUCAAGCAGGUAGCCCCCAUUCCCCUUUCUUUCCAUUCUUGGAAAUAAACAAUCUCCUUUUUCUCUCUGUGAAUUUAUCUAUUCUGAAUAUUUCAUAAGAAUAAAAUCAUAAUUGAUGUGAUUUAUGUGUCUGGCUUCUUGCAUUAGUGUAAUGUGUUCAUCUAUAUUGUACCAUGGACCAAUAUUUUAUUCCUUCGUAUUGAAAAGAUGAAAAUUACUUUGAGACCAGCUAGAGAUUAUAGGCCGUCCUACUAAACUUCCAUAGGAAGAGACACCAACUGGAUUCCUGAUGUUGUUUCUAGAGUCUACUACAUGAAAAAAAGUGCUACAAAGGAUAGAUUGUGGAAGAUGCUGGCAUGUGCCUCCUAGAGCUCAUGCAGGGAUUUAGUCCACUAGUUGUUGUGAGUCACUAUGUGGUCACUGGGAAUUGAACUCAGGACCUCCAGAAGAGCACUCAGUGCUCUUAACCACUGAGCCAUCUCUCCAGCCCUAGUCUGCUAUUUGUUAAGAAUGGAAUAAAAGCUUUCAACAUACGCGAGCCUUUGCCUAAAUCAUGUCUCCUCCUUAGAGGUAGUUCUCAUCCAGUGACUGGUUGGGAUCAAAAUGGUCUACCCACUUCGUGGGUCCGGGGGACUCUCCUCUGUGCUGCUUCCUCACACUCUCUGCACCUACCCCUGCUUCCUCCAUCCUCCUUGGAUGUGUUGAUCCCUAAGUCAUAGCCCAUUAAACAUCUCCAUUCUCUAUGCAAAUUUCCUUUUCAGAAUUUCAAUCUGAGCCCUACAAAGUCAAUGCAAUUUGAGUUGGGUCAUUAAAAAUUGAAUAUUCCAAUCAUGGGAAAUAAUGAAUCUAUGGCACUCUGAGCUGAUUCAACAACAUUUAAAGGAUAAUAACCUACUGAGGUCUUGUAGUUUAAGAGAAACUAAUGAAAUGGCUGUAUUCAGAGGAAAUCAACUAAGAUAGGUGGUACAAGAGAAUGCUUCUUGAAUUAGAGACAGAGGAAUUGAAACUGUGAGGACUGUCUUAAUCUCACAUAUGGAAGAUGAACCUACAGACUAGUUUUGAAAGAGGUAGAUUUUGGCUGAAUGAUAUCAGGAUUGUUUUCAUAAAUAAAAAAAGGGUAUAAUUUUAUUUUAUGUGUUUGGAUGUUUCCCCUGCAUGUAUGUCUGUGCACAGUUGCAUGUCUGGUGCCUGUGGAGGUCAGAAGAGGGUGUCAGAUCCCCGGGAACUAGAGUUACAGAUGGUGAUGAGCCUCUAUGCUGAGAGUCAAACUCUGGUCCUCUGCAAAUGCAGCAAGCGUGCUUAUCUGCCAAGCCAUCUCUCCAGACCUGGCAGGAAUUUUUUAAAAGGAUAACUUGUCACAUGUCUUGGGAAGUAAUGAGCCAGCUCCUUAAUAUAGAUGGAUGAUGAUGGAUCAGCAAUGUUCAAGAGAGGAUUUCUGCACUAAGAACUGGAAUACAGUCCUUUUCAAUUCUCAAAUCUCAUGAUUAUAGCUUAUGAUAAAUUAUAAGCUUUUUAAGGGUCUUACUAUGGAGAUGUAUAGAAUCUGCUCAACUGUAAUACAAGAUUCAGUGUUGUCAGUGUUUCUUAAAGGGAAAAAAAUACCCCCCACCACUUUCAGUCUGUCUAGAGUGACAUGGCAUGGCACAGGAUAUAUACAGGAUAUUUUCAUGUAUCAUCCCCACCUACAAUGAGUUGAUUGUUCAGUUCCGCCUUUUAAGACACAAAGAAGCAAAUGGUUGAUUUUGAAUUAGCUCUGACUUUUAUUAAUAAGCAUGUUUACAAGUUUUAAGGGCUCAGCAGAUAAUUUAUAUCUUGCUACAAAUAGCUUUAGCAUGUAUUAGCAUAGCCUUAGGAAUUCAGGCUAGACACUUUUACUAAAAAUUAAGUGGAACUCCGGGGAGUUUAUAGAGUUGACCCAGACCAUGAAGGGAUUGUGUACCAGGGAUGAAAUCCAACCUCUCAUAUUGUAGAUGAUAGGACUUUCAUACUUAUAUCCAAAUUUAUCCACAUUCCAAAUCUUCUUCCUUCCGGACCACUCUCAUCAUAUUUUAUGUGUUGAAUUGUAUUACACACACACACACACACACACACACACACACACACACACACACACACACACCAAAAAAACAAAACAAAACAAACAAACAAACAAAAAGCUAAAGUCCUAAACCCU
Molecule: RNA transcript, 8414 nt
Organism: Peromyscus californicus insignis
Lineage: Eukaryota; Metazoa; Chordata; Mammalia; Rodentia; Cricetidae
Gene: Qtrt2
Gene name: queuine tRNA-ribosyltransferase accessory subunit 2
Exons: 11
Source: RefSeq, a predicted model, not a curated record